Molecule: unclassified non-coding RNA, 783 nt
Filed under: Hevea brasiliensis (rubber tree)
Lineage: Eukaryota; Viridiplantae; Streptophyta; Magnoliopsida; Malpighiales; Euphorbiaceae
Source: RNAcentral
GAUGAAGGUUUCUAUAGGGAAUGGAGGAAAUGACAACAUCAUCACUCUGAAGGUAGGGGACGGUCAAUGUUCACUUGAUUUCAGGGGUCUGAUUGACAGCGCUGAGAAAACAUCUCAGUUCAAUUAUGCUCUCCCAUCCUUCGGAAUAAUGUGUUUGGUUGCAAUUGCAUUAGUGGCUACAAUCUUAUUGUACAUCAAGCGGAGGCUUCUAGUAAGCAAUGGCCACAUGUAUCAAAAACUGGACAAUGCUUUACCAGUUUCCAGUGGCGGAAAGGUAGAGACACUCUCAACUGAUGGAUGGGACAAUAACUGGGAUGACAAUUGGGACGACGAGGAGGCACCCAAAGCACCAUCCUUGCCAGUCACUCCUUCACUCUCUUCUAAAAUCAUCUCCGCACGAUGGUCUAGUAAGGAAGGCUGGAAAGACUAAUCUUGAUGAGUGUCCGCGAAAUGCUUUCUUUGCAUCAACCUUUUUUUCCUUCCACUUGGUAAGUAUAGAGAAUAGAAAUGACUUAAAUUGCACAGUAAUCGCGACUCGUGGCAAUACGAUUCAAAUCGUGACCUCUUGCCAUAUCGAGUUGCCCCUCGGACUCUUCCCUUUCAAUAUCUUUGAAAGAGGGAAGUCCCUUUUUCUGGGCUUGAUGAGAAAUGCCCUAUAGCUUGAGUUUCUUUUUGCUUUUCUUUUCCUUCUAACUCACUCAGUAUGCUUGAUGAAUUACUCCUAAAGGUUGAAGAUGUUUCUAGACCCGCUUUGUGCAGUUCAAUAUUCACGUUGAAAUCUCG